This 500-nucleotide ribosomal RNA is filed under the name uncultured bacterium. RNAcentral describes it as "partial 16S ribosomal RNA". It matches the Rfam family "Bacterial small subunit ribosomal RNA", at positions 30 to 523 of the family's 1533-position model. The record is from RNAcentral.
AUUGAACGCUGGCGGAAUGCUUUACACAUGCAAGUCGAACGGCAGCACGAACUUCGGUCUGGUGGCGAGUGGCGAACGGGUGAGUAAUGUAUCGGAACGUGCCCAGUCGUGGGGGAUAACGUAGUGAAAAUUACGCUAAUACCGCAUAAGCUCUAUGGAUGAAAGCGGGGGAUCGCAAGACCUCGCGCGAUUGGAGCGGCCGAUAUCAGAUUAGGUAGUUGGGGGGGUAAAGGCCCACCAAGCCAACGAUCUGUAGCUGGUCUGAGAGGACGACCAGCCACACUGGAACUGAGACACGGUCCAGACUCCUACGGGAGGCAGCAGUGGGGAAUUUUGGACAAUGGGCGAAAGCCUGAUCCAGCCAUUCCGCGUGCAGGAUGAAGGCCCUCGGGUUGUAAACUGCUUUUGUACAGAACGAAAAGGUUUCUACUAAUACUAGGAGCUCAUGACGGUACUGUAAGAAUAAGCACCGGCUAACUACGUGCCAGCCGCCGCCGUAA